RNAcentral lists this long non-coding RNA (212 nucleotides) under Panax ginseng (ginseng). RNAcentral describes it as "long non-coding RNA (PGIN_LNC014400)". Lineage: Eukaryota; Viridiplantae; Streptophyta; Magnoliopsida; Apiales; Araliaceae. The record is from RNAcentral.
UGAAUUCUUAUGUUAUUCCAUUCUUUAUUAUUCUGUUGGAAUAACAUGUCUAUGUGGAUUACCACAUGCAUGGUGAAUGAUCAUUUGUAUUCAUUCCUUAUUAAAUUGUGGAAAUGACGUGUCUAAGUGGAUUACCGCAUGGCGGGCGAAAAUCCAUUUGAAGUAUACUAUAUUCUCUUAUACUCAGUUGGUUAAAGCUUUGACUUCUAUAC